Molecule: ribosomal RNA, 485 nt
Filed under: uncultured bacterium
Lineage: Bacteria
Description: partial 16S ribosomal RNA
Rfam family: Bacterial small subunit ribosomal RNA
Source: RNAcentral
AUUGAACGCUGGCGGCAUGCCUUACACAUGCAAGUCGAACGAGAACGGGAUAUAGCUUGCUAUAUUUGUCAGCUAAGUGGCGCACGGGUGAGUAAUGUAUAGAUAACCUGCCCUCUAGAAAGGAAUAACAGUUGGAAACGACUGCUAAUGCCCUAUAUGCCUUUAAUACAUAAGUAUGCAAGGGAAACGCUUUAGUGCUAGAGGAUGGGUCUGUAUGGUAUCAGCUUGUUGGUGAGGUAAUGGCUCACCAAGGCUAUGACGCCUAACUGGUUUGAGAGGAUGAUCAGUCACACUGGAACUGAGACACGGUCCAGACUCCUACGGGAGGCAGCAGUGGGGAAUAUUGCACAAUGGACGAAAGUCUGAUGCAGCAACGCCGCGUGGAGGAUGCCACAUUUCGGUGCGUAAACUCCUUUUAUAUAGGAAGAUAAUGACGGUACUAUAUGAAUAAGUACCGGCUAACUCCGUGCCAGCCGCCGCCGUAA